CUACCAACUAGGAAAAGACUAGGUUAAAAAGAUGAUCAUUACAAGUAAAAGGGGUGGGGUAUUUAUAGCUAGAAAUGUAGGGUUUAGGGGUAGGGUGGCUAAAUCUAAUCCAUCCAUGUGUGAUGUGUGUUGGGUAAAUCAUAGCCAUCCAUGUGCCCCCUUGCUUGCCAACUCUCUUUGAUUUUCUUCUUUUCUUUUCUUUUUCUCCCUUUUUCUUGCAUUUUCUCUUCUUUCUUUAUUUAUCUACAAUUUCCUGAAAUAAAAUAAAUAAGCGAUUAAUACUACGAAAAUAAACAAAAAAUAGGCACUUAAAUAU
This 316-nucleotide long non-coding RNA is filed under the name Daucus carota (carrot). Its description in RNAcentral is "long non-coding RNA (DCAR_LNC002048)". Lineage: Eukaryota; Viridiplantae; Streptophyta; Magnoliopsida; Apiales; Apiaceae. The record is from RNAcentral.